Molecule: unclassified non-coding RNA, 2936 nt
Filed under: Octopus sinensis (East Asian common octopus)
Lineage: Eukaryota; Metazoa; Mollusca; Cephalopoda; Octopoda; Octopodidae
Description: uBX domain-containing protein 6, transcript variant X1
Source: RNAcentral
AUCGUAUUUCCUUUAUUAUACUUCUUUGGAUUCUGCGUAUUUACUCCUCUUUGCACGUAAUUUUCAUUCAACGUUUCAGCAAAGGUCUCCCUGGUAUGUCUGACUGGAAUCAAUUGAACACUUACUACCGUAUUAUAUACGACUACCUAAAACCAGAUCAAGUGAUAUCGUGUGCGGAAGGUGUAUUGCAGUCUAUUGUAGGGACAGCAAACUCAGACCAGGGCGACACUACCUUGGCAAGUAGUGACACAGCAAAUGCUCCAGGUCGGCUGUGUUUUGUGAACAGUCCUGUACAAGUGAGGGUUUUACUUGGAUUGCUUGCUUAUUUCUUCAUCACUAUUGUCCUUAUCCAUUUGGCCUGGCUUCUGUACGGAUUUGAUAUAAAUGAAUUAUUCGUACGAUCUGGAAUCCAACAGCCACAAGCUCAGCGACCUCGUCACAAGGCCAGUUAUAGUGAAAAGAUAUCUCGGUCUGCACAAGCUUCAAAUAUUCCAAUAAAUAAGUCAAAUUUCAUGGAUUAAAAGUUGAUAAUUAGGAAAAAAAAAAAGAGUAGUCUAAAUUAUUAAUUUAUCUUUUAAUUGAAAUAUUUCAACUUAAAAAACCAAAUCACGAUGCCAAAUAAUUUUUUUGAUAAAAUUAAACUAGAUCGCUUCUUUAGGAAAGCUGGCCCUGGUCAUAAAUUAGCACAAGAAAAAGAAAGUCAUGCCAGUUCAUCUUUGCAUUCCAAUUUAUCCGGUGGCCCUUCAUCAUUACCCACAGCCUCUAAAACAGAAUCAGAACAGAGAGCUGCAGCUGCUGCCAUUGCACGGUUCAAUCAAUCAAAAUCAGGGGAAUGCCGGCCUGUUAUGAAAACUAGAGUGCGUAGUGGAACUAAAACUAGCACCACAGACCACCAACAAUCUCCAGAUACUUCUGCCAAAGCAGGGGAGUCUGAAAAGAGUAACACCGAAAGUUGCCCCUUUCUCUUAUUUACAUGUCCUGAUAUUGGACCUGCAGUGCUUCCUAAACAAGAAAUUAAUGAAUAUAUCCGAGAGUUUCUAUAUAACUCCCUUGAAGCACAGCCUGAAAUGGCCUCGACCUUGAUGAUUCAGACUCUGAAUAAAAAUAAAGAAGCCGUAAAAGUUUGUGUUGACAUCUUAACAAAAUAUAUAGACAACCUUAUUAACAACCCCGGUGAGGAAAAAUUCAGGAAAUUCCGACUUAAUAACCGAGCGUUUCAGGAGAAGGUCAACCCUAUGGAAGGGAGUGAAGAAUUUCUACUUACUUGUGGUUUUGAGAGGAAAAGUCUAAAGCUUGAUGAUCAACCUGAAGAAAUGUAUUUUAUCAUUCCAGAAGAAAAAGCUCAAAACGUUGACUAUCUGAAACAUAUGAAAGACUGUCUUCUAUCAGCUGAACCAAUUCGACCUCAGCUUGAUCGAGCCUUGCGAGUAUAUACCCCUCAACAUAUGCCAAAUUUUGUAAUACCUGAUGACUUCUACAAUCUCACUCCAGCUGAACUCAAGAGAGAACAACAGUUACGUAGUGAAAACACAGAAAGGAUUGAAAUUCUUCGAACGAAAGCCAUGCGAGAACGUGACGAGAAACGAGAACUUCGUCGUUAUCGUUACACUAUGAUACGUAUUCGUUUUCCUGAUAGUGUUGUCUUGCAAGGAACCUUUUGGGCUCAAGAAAAAUUAAGUGAUCUGAGGAAAUUUGUACAAGACAAUUUAAGACUUGAUUGGAUACCAUUUAAUUUAGUGAAUCCAACAGGACAUAGACUUGAAGAAGACUUGACACUAAUUGAACUUGGCCUUGCACCAACUGCUGUGGUUAAUUUCAUUGUUGAUGAAGACAUAAUUAAUGAUCUGGCCCUUCAGCCAGGAACUGCUAAUAAAGCUGGAUCAUUUUUGAAGUCUGAUAUUCAAUGCUUACUUCAGGAAUUUCCCUAAAUUGCCUUAAUAUUAUUUUUGAACAUUAAUUUAAAACAAAAAUUGAAAAUUAAAAAACAAAAAAAAAAGCAGAAGCAAAAACAAAACAACAAACAUACUAAAACACAAAAUAUUUCAAGGCUCACUUAUCAAGGAUACUAUAUGUUGAAUAUUUUGAACUGAUUUAAAUGACUGAUAUAUCACUGGUUAAAUUUUUAUUAUCAGAACACUUUUCCUGCUUACUAACACUUGACAAGAUCGUUUUUUAGAGUAACUCUACAAGAAAAAAUAUUCUAUUUUCUAUUUUUCACCAAACCAUGUAAAUUCAUUAUUAAGUUCAUGUAGUGUGCAUUUCCCAAUUGAGUUAUUUGAAAUUGAAGAAAUUUAUCAUAGAAUAUUAAUCAGCGAUUAUUAUAAUUGCAGCCAUGUAAGGUAUUUGUGAAAACUAGCCGUAGAUAGGAAUUAUAUAACAUUAUUAUAGACUAAUGCUUUUAAUGCGCACCAACUUGAGAGCCCCACUGAUACAAGCUUUCCAUUUUGAAGUGUCCAAGUCUAAAUAAAAACUUUCCAUUGUAACUUCUUGUAAGGACCUUUGCGCUGGCUCAAAUUGUUUUAAGCCACUGUUAAUUAUUUUAUUAAAUUUAUCAUUAUUUUCUAAAUUAAUUGAAACAGCAGCAGUGUAUUUCAUUAGAAAUAUAACUACAAAUGGGUUAAACCCAAAUCACACUAACAUUCAUUGCUGCAGUUGUAAAAAGCAGUUUCGCUCAAAUAGUAGAUUUUGACAAUCUAAUGGCUUGUAUUAGUCAGUCUGUCAGUAAUAACUUGAUAUCAUUAUAAACUAUAUGCAAUAAAGAUAAUCAGGAAAUGGUGAGAAUGGAAGAGACUUCAGUUUAGUAACCGUUUUAAAUACCAUUUUAUGAAGAAUGAACUUUUAAUUUUAGAUUUGUAUUAUUUUAGGGAAGUGCAAUGGAUGUUUAUCUGUAAAGGAGAAGAAGAAUAAAAAAAAUAAAUUUUUGAAGCAUUUUAAAA